This 10350-nucleotide long non-coding RNA is filed under the name Zea mays. RNAcentral's name for it is "long non-coding RNA (ZMAY_LNC000592)". The record is from RNAcentral. Lineage: Eukaryota; Viridiplantae; Streptophyta; Magnoliopsida; Poales; Poaceae.
GAAAUCCAUGUACAGGGGUCACAAAAAGCCUUGCAGUUGAAGCUGCAUGCUCGUGACAUGUCUGAUUAAUAUUGGUUCAUAGGAAGCAAAUCACCUAGGACAAGGUGAAACCUUCUCUGUAGGCAAGCAGGCAAAAAGGAAUAAAUGUUCCCAUCCUGAUCAAAAGGAAUAAAAAUAUUCUGAAAAUUGCCACAUCCAAGCUAUUAGAUGGUAUGCUUAGGAAGUAUUGUUAUUGUUAAGAUAUAAAUCCAUCCAUCAUGACAAAGAAGGUGAUCUUUUUGUAAUCCUUCUUGAAAAAAUAGAAUGAUUUGAAUUUCGACAAGUUAACUAUACAUCCUUGCCAAAAAAAAUUGAAUUACACUUCUCAACGAAUGGACAGUUUUGUCAUACCAAGAGACAUCUGGAAUCCUGAAGAGCAAGCAACGUUGGGAGUCCGCACUACUUUGUACCGCAGAAAAAAAUUAAUACCUCACUAAAACCUCCAGGUUGCAUGAUCUCUUUAGCAUAAUGGUUCAGCUUGCAGUUGUUUCAGCUUCCAUCCUCCAGGUGGCUUACCUCUAGGGGCAGCCCACUUGGAAGUUGGAAAUUUGGAAUGGAAAGACUUUCACCACGAUGAUAUUGUAGGGCAUGUCACAACGAUGAGCAUUCAUUUUCAUCUUGCUACAAAGCUCAAUGAUAGAAGAACACCAAUUGGCAAGAAAAAUUCAAUGGGAUUGAACCAACAAGAGAUCAAGGACAUCAUAAUACAUUCAACUUGUUUACACCAAAGGAAUCCAGGACAAUAGUUUUAAACAAACAUGGAAAACUGCAGUCAAUAUUAACUGGAAAUGGGUCAAAAGUGGUAUGUCAAUAUAAAGUGGGCAAAUAUUGAUUCACAGCUCAUUCAAAAGAAAGCAGCAAUCAGCAACAAGCAAUAACAGAACAUGUCCACUCAUGAUCUAGAGGCUUUGUGUGCAAUGGACAGCUGUAAAAAAUGCCAUCUCUGAACAAUAAAAAUUAGCAAGGUACAUCUUGUAACACAGCUACAACCAAAAAUUCACUUUCCUAAUCUCACACCAAGCGCAUCAAAAGGAACACAUUGCCAAGACAGAGAUAGAGAAGCACAAUAGACUGUCAACUUGCAUAAUCAUCGACAUCAACAUAGCCUUUUGGUUCCAAGCAAGUUGGGGUAGGCUAGAAUUGAAACCCAACAAGAAGUCACCAAAAAGAAAGAGGGAGAGGGAGAGAGAGAAAGGGGAGGGGGGAAAAGCUUUUGAGAGAACUAAAAGGGAAAAGGCCUAAUCACGGUUCAGGCGCGUGCAUAGCUUCUUUUCAAGCACUUCUAUCCAAACACAACUCCUUCGGGAUAUUUCAUUCCUUCAAGUCCCUUUUGAUAGCCUCCUCCCAUAUUAAGUUUGGCCACCCUCUACCUCUCUUCACAUGUCAACUUGCAUAAUCAUAGUUAUCAAAAAUUAAUCUUUCAUUUCCCAUGCACAGAUUAUGGGCUCAAUAAAUGUAAAAAUGGCAGAUGCAAAUGACACCAUGCACUAAUCAUAAGGAGCAGAUUACAGGAUAGGCAUGCAGCAAAAGUAUAUAUCAGUCAACAAAAGAAACCAGAAAGGUUAGCAGAAUCUAGCAACUAAAGGCGUCUCACUUCUGAAUUGCUAACUACUUCCCUCCGUCCCAAAAUAUUAGCCGUUUUAGCUCUUGAUUUUAUGUCUAUGUUCAAAUGAAUGGUGAUGGAUGUGACAUAUAUAUAAAACAAAUACAUUAAUUAUUGUAUGAAUCCACUAAAAAGGUAAAACGGAUUUUAUUUUGGGACAAAGGGAGUAGAUGAUAAGACAGGUUAUUCGUCAUGCACAAGAUAAUGGGCAUCCAGCUUGCUACAGCUGCUAAAAAAGUAACAUGUUAGAAUAGAGCUACCAACAGUCAAGUUUGAUCUGGAAUACUAAAGCCUAGCUGUUUAGUUUGAUCUGUAAAUGAAGGAUGACCUCUCCUGCUCUCCAAAUUCUGAACAUAAAGGAUUACAGAAGUAGACAAUCAAACUACCCCACAUGCAUACCACCUCCCAUAAAAUAAGCAUUAGUUUCCAUAUUUGGUCUCUUAUUUGCAUCCAUCACCUGAUCUCUUAUAUCAAGAAAUUGCUUGGGAUGGUAAACUGCUGGGUGUGCAUGCAUUUGCAUAAAAUCUGUUGCGGCCAUCGGCAAAGAGCCGCUCUCUAGGUUGAUACACUACCGGAAUCAGCUCCUUUGCCGUGUGUCUCAGACACACGGCAAAGGCCAUUUUACACUCGGCAAAUGCUUUGCCGAGUGUAACACUCGGCAAAGAACGCUCGGCGAACUGUACAUCGGCAACAGCCUCUUUGCCGAGUACUAUUUGUCGGGCACUCGGCAAAGGCUUUGCCGAGUGCCUAAUGGCGCUCGGCAAAGAAAAGUCACCGUCACGGCGCCAAGUAACGGUGACGGAUACUUUGCCGAGUGCCGCCUGCGGCACUCGGCAAAGAGGUCAAUUUUGCCGAGUGUUCGCUCGAGAGGCCCUCGACAAAGACUGACCCAGUGGGCCCCACUGCCAGUCCCUGUGCCGAGAGCUCUAGUAGGCACUCGGCAAAGGAGGACUCUUUGCCGAGUGUCUGUUUGACAGGUACUCGGCAAAGAACCCUCCAGUGGGCCCCUUUGCCAGUCCCUUUGCCGAGUGCCUUGGCAAUAGCACUCGGCAAAGAUGUCUUUGCCGGUUCCCAGGUUUCCUUCUUUGCCGAGUGCCAUGGUCAGCACUCGGCAAAGAUGUCUUUACCGGUUCCCAGGUUUGCUUCUUUGCCGAGUGCCAUGGUCAUAGCACUCGGCAAAGCGACCCUUUGCCGAGUGUUACACUCGGCAAAGUGACCAGAAUGUCCCUUUUUUAUUUGCUUUUGUUGUUCCAUCCAAACAAACAAAAGAUAUAUAUGAUUCACAUCACAUUAUAUAUCAAUCACAUCACAGAAUGAACACAUUUAUCAUCAACACCAUAUAUAUCACAAAGUCUCACAAAUAUAAGUAAGGAUCAUCACAAAACAGAUAUAAGUCUGCGUCAUCACUAACAUCACCAAGUAUCUCACAAGAUAAAGUUUAACUAACAUCACCAACACUCAUAAAGGUAAGUCUGGAUCAUCACAAAACAAAUCAUCAACGAGGUGGGCAUCUGGACUGGUUCGGCGAAGGGCUGGACGAAGCAUGAGGGUUGUUCGACGCCGCCGAUUGACCCUGCACAGAGAAGAGAUUGUAUGUGUGAGAACAUAUGAAUAUAUAUCAUGCAGUACUAAAAUUUUGAUACUCACAGGAGUAGUGAACUCUGUAGGGUCAGCUGCAGGGAACAACGGAGGUGGUGGAGCAUGACCCUGUGCGGCGCCAAGGCUCUGCAUGUACGCGAACAUCUCCGCCAUCCUCUUCUCUAGCUCCUCACGUUGCCUCCUCUCAUCAUCUAGCUGAGUCUGUAAUAUUUCGCCCUAAUGUUACGAUAAUGCAAAGAGAAGAUAUAUAAAAAUCAAUGAACGAUGAAUAGAUAAGGAAUAACCUGGAGUUGCUGGAUACGAUGCUGUGAGGUGUCCUGCCGAGGUCGUAUGGCUGGGCUCGCGCUCGUGCUCCUUGCUCGCGUAUAAUGGAGUUUCUGUGCCUCGUACAUGCUCUUUGGCAGAACGUGAUCCUCCGGAAGCAGGCUGCCAAUAACUGUCAACAAACCAUCGAAUGCGUCUCGACUCAUGCUAUACUGCGACUUGAACGCCAUUAUACGCCCAAUGGCAUCCAGUUGAGAAACCUUUGUCUUGCCGUGAAGGGGUUUCUGUGCCGCGUCAAACAUGUCGUAGAAUGUCUUUGCGGUCGCCUCUGGCUCGUCCUCCGUACGUCCUUCGGCGAACUGUGCCUCGUGAUAGUCGUUCAACAUGUCUCCUACCCCGGCAUCAGCAUCGUAAUCCUCGACGCGUUGUCUCACCACCUCCUCUCUCGUGCGAUGCGCUUCACCAUGGAAGAUCCACCGAGUAUAGUCCGGCGUAAAUCCAUUCUUCCAAAUAUGUUCUACCAUGACCUUCUUUGGUUUUCUUUUCCGGUUGUCACAUUUGCUACACGGACAAGGGACUAGGCUAGCUCCUUUAGCAGCUUCGCCAUAUGCCCGUUCCACGAAAGCAUCGGUCUUCCUAAUCCAUUCUGGGGUGACAUCAUUACGUCGAACGCGGCCCGUGUACAUCCACUCACGGUCCUCCAUCCUCUAACAUAUAUAACCGAGUAUAGUUUAAUAUAGACAUGUAAUGCAUGUACACUACGUUCCUACCUUCUAAUAGGUGAGGAUAGGUCCUAAUCCCACCCGCGGUUGCGUAGAUGGAGUUAGUUUCCAUGCUCUACUCCGAUCCGAGAUAGAAUUUCGGCAGCACCUCCCCGCUGUUCUCCGGAUACACGUCCUGGCAGAGAGAGUGUACUGUCCGGAGAACAACAGGGAGGUGACGCCGAAACUCUUUCUCGGACCGGAGUAGAGCAUGGAAACUAACACCAUCUACGCAACCGCAGGCUGUCCAAAAAAUGUGGACAAUUCGAAACUGAUACAUUUGUAGAUAUGCAAAGAUCUGCAUAUCUACACCGUAUCUCUUUCGAACGGGAGACGCCUAACUGGGUUACGUGAUCUACGACCAUGAUGCGGAAAUAGAGGUUAUACCUAGGGUGGCGGUGGAGUCAGGCUAGUGGGGCUGUGGCGGGUCGGUGCAGUGGCGACGCGACGCGGUGCAGGCAGACCCGCAGCGGCUAGGAAGACCUCUGCAAAAAAUACAUGCCUGUCAACAAAAAGAGUUAUGUGUAAAUGUGCACAUGUGCACUAAAGUUUUACAAAGGAAAACUUUAGACCUCUACCAUAAAAGUUUUACAAAGGAAAACUUUAGAUGUGCACUAAACUUUAGACCUCUGUCAACAAAAGGAAAACUUUCUAAACCUACUUGGCCUCUAAUAUGUGUAAAUGUGCACUAAAGUUUUACAAAGGAAAACUUUAGACCUCUACCAUAAAAGAGUUAUGCAGCGUAGUUUCCAAUCAUAUAUAUAUAUAUACACACUAGCAUAACAAGUUAAAUUACAAAUGUAAGCAUGUAACCUACAAAAGCAUCAAUGAGAUAGAAAUGAUGUAGACCCACAUCGAGGACGACGAUUUUAAUCGAGGUAUCGAGAAGCUCAUGGUUUUUCCUAAUCUUCAUUGGAGCCCCUAGCAAGGAUGCCCAUGCGAGGGACAAGCUCUCGACCAAGUAGCUCUAUUGAUAGCCCACAUUCCUUCCCUAUGCGCAAGUGAGUCUUCAUGGUAGUCUUCUUUCGGAUCUCUUUCCAUUAUCUUUAUUAUCAUGUAUUUGACCAAUACGUUGUUGGUCACACAUUUCAUUUUGUACACGCUCAAUGACCUCACCACAUUUCAUAGGAUCUUAUAGGACUACAAGCCCUAGUGUACAAGCAAUGGUACAUGGAAGCACUAGGUGGCAAGGGUAUGGAAAUCUCACUAAGCAGCAGGCCUAAACUUAGGGCAAGUGCUAAAUAGUUGUGAGGAUCUAGAUGGCUAGAGAACUACUUCUACAAAGUUACACAAGCAACAAGCACAACACAAGUACUAAUAAAAAUGUUACAUACACUCACUAGGGCGCGGGCGGACGGGCGGGCGCCGGCGAGGGCGCGGGCGCCGGCGAGGGAGGCCGCGGCGAGGGCGGCCGCGGCGGGCGCGGGCGUGGGCGGACGCGGCCGGCGACGGCAUGGCGGGCGGCGAGCCGGCGAUGGCGCGGAGCGGCGGCGGGCGCGCAGGGAGGCGGCGGUGGGCGCGAUAGAGAGGAGACAGCGAGAGCAGAGAAAUGAGGAGGAAGAAAGCCGCGGGCGAGUAUAUUCGCCUUCUUUGCCGAGUGCCCGUGAUCUGGCACUCGGCAAAGUUUUUUAAAUUUUUAAAAUAAACUUUGCCGAGCGCCAGAUCGGUGGCACUCGGCAAAGGAUCCUUUGCCGAGUGUCUAUCAUCCGACACUCGGCAAAGAUUAACUUACACAUCUUUGCCGAGUGCCACCCUAGGGGCACUCGGCAAAGAAGUCUUUGCCGAGUGUCUUCUUUGGACACUCGGCAAAGUACAUUUUUAUUUUUUUUUAUUUUGCCAACCAAAAUUUUUGUGGUAUGUUCCUACACUAUAUAGACCUACAUGUACUAUUUUGGGACAAUUAUAACAGUGUUUUCUAUAGCUAGUACAUUUAAUUUGUUUAUUUGAAUUUUUUCGGAAAUUUCAGAUUUGAACUGCAGGUCACUUGAAACUUGGAAAACCGUGCAUGCAAAAAUAAUAUCCAUGCUACAUAGCACAAGUUACGACCGAUUUCAGGAGCGGACCGGAAACUUCGAGCACCAUGCUCACUCAACAUGACCGUGAACUUGCCAUACAGCUGUUUAAAAAAUUUAUAAAACACAAACAAACUUAGAAAAUCAUGAAACUUGUCCACAUGUCAUGAUAUCAUAUGUAGAGUCUGAUAAAAAAUUUAGAAUGUUUGGAGAAAGUUGUGAGACACUAUGUGUAUAAACCUAAGAGAACCACACAUGAAAUCAUAGAGUUUCAAUGUGAAUCUCUUAGGUUUGUACACAUAGUGCGUUACAGCUUUCUCGAAACUUUUUCAAAUUUUUAUCACAGCCUCUACAUAUGAUAUCAUGACACGUGGACAGGGUUCAUGAUUUUCUGACUUUGUUUCUGUUUUAUACAAUUUUUAAACACCUGGAUGGCAAGUUUACGGUCAUGUUGAGUGAGCAUGGUGCUCGAAGUUUUCGGUCCGCUCCUGAAAUCGGUCGUAACUUGUGCUAUGUAGCAUGGAUAUCAUUUUUGCAUUCACGGUUUUCCAAGUUUCGAGUGACCUGCAGUUCAAAUCUGAAUUUUCCGAAGAAAUUCAAAUAAACAAACUAAAUGUACUAGCUAUAGAAAAAACUGUUAUAAUUGUCCCAAAAUGGUACAUGUAGGUCUACAUAGUGUAGAAAUAUACCACAAAAAUUUUGGUGACCAAAAUAAAAAAAUAAAAAUAUGCUUUGCCGAGUGUCUACAGAGGACACUCGGCAAAAACUAUGUUUGCCGAGUGCCAGAUAUUUGACACUCGGCAAAGACUGACGGCCGUCAGUUGUAGACGGCCGCUAACGGCCCUUUGCCGAGAGCCAUGUUUGCCGAGUGCUCGGCUGUGCCGAGUGUCCUACACUCGGUAAACUAGCUCUUUACCGAGCGCAGGACGUUGCCGAGUGCGGCACUCGGCAAAGCCUUCUUUGCCGAGUGCCCGAUAAAAAGCACUCGGCAAAGCCACCGGCACUCGGCAAAGGCGCGAAUUCCGGUAGUGAUAUUCACCAAAUCAAAAGUGUGCAUCCCAUUCUGAGAAGUCGAUACCAUAUUCAUAUCCACUCUGCCAUCGCCCUGUAUCAGGUGAGGGGAUGUCAUAUUCAUAUCAUCGCUUCUGUCCCCAUGUAUCAAAUGUGGAGAUGCCAAGUUCAUAUCAAUUCUAUCACCAUGUAUAAAGUGUGGUGAUGCCAAGUUCAUGUCCACUCUUUCCCUCUGCAUCAAGUGAGGAGAUGACAUGUUCAUGUCAAGUCUUCCCUCUCCAUGAAUAAGGUGGGUCGUUGGCAUUUUCAUCUCAACUCUUCUGUCCCUAUGAAUCAGGGCAUUGGCAUUUGAUGUCAUGGCAUCACCAUGGACUAAUGCUGGCACAUUUGGCGCUAUGUCCGCAUCAACCCUUCUAUCCCCCUGAAUCAGAGCUGAGGUGUGUGACGCCAUGUUCUUAUCAACUCUUGUAUCUGCAGGCACCUGACCAGUCACAGUCAUAUUUACAUCAACCUGUUGAUCACCUUGCUUGCUGUGAUCAGGCCUAAUUAGUCUGUCCUUUGCUUCCUUCAAGGCUGACAACACAAACUCCUUCAGCUCAGGUUCUCUUGCUCCGAUGUCAAUGACAUCUUCAAAAUAUUCGUGGCCACAAAUAUACAAGUCAUCAUAAAUGCCCAGAUCCCUAUCUGAUUCCAUGCGAUUGGUGUUUGCGGAUGAAUUAAGUACCUAAAAUCCUUCCUCCAGCGGUUCAGGAUGUAAUUUGAUGGCAGUAUCAGUACAUUCUCUUGCUUCAGAACAGCCAGACAAAGAAUACCCCUCGAGGGAAAGGAGCGACAAAUGCACCAAACAUCCUUGUCAGAAUUGUUGUAAACAACUGUAUAGUCGACCUUCUUUCCCUGUAUUAACUCACUGACAAUGUAAGUAAUUGAGUUCCCACUUCUGUCUACCUCUUUACAAGUAACAUGCAUCAAUUGCUUAAUCUCAUCUUGGAACGUUUGAAACAUGGUUACUGUGUAGAGCUCCACAAGUUGCUCCUCAAAGGGCAAUCCCGACAACAAAGUGAGUCUAGAAUAGUAUGGCCGCAAAUCGGCAUAUGUUUCUCUUUCCAGCUUCUCUUUCAGAGUAGCCUCGUAUUGCUCAAGGAAAACUGGAAGGGUGGUUUUACUCACAACACUAUCAAAAUAUGGAUCAGUUUUUUCAGCCUUCCUGAUAGCAGAGGUGCCAGCCCAGAAUGAAUGAUUGAUAUACCCAGGUGCCCACUGCUUCCGACAACUGUACAAAGCAGAGAACCACUCAUUGUCUUUGAGAUUGUACUGGUCGACCAUGGCCCCCCACUCUUUUUCGAAGUCAGUAAGAGUGACGCUAUCAUAUACAACCUCCUUGAAGCUUGAGGAAAUUGCCUCUUUCUCAUGUGUGCGAACCACAUUUUCAAGUAGCUUCUUCAAGAUGUGCCAAAAGCAAAAUCGAUGCCUUGCAUUUGGAAACACCUCAGCCACAGCCUCUGAAAUGACAUCUGAAUAGCCGGUCGUGAUUGCCUCUGGGGGUUUGCCAUUCAUACAGCUCAACCACCUCUUCAACAACCAAACAUAGUUCUCCUUGCUGUCACCAGACAGGAGACUACAACCAAGAAGCACAAGGUGACCAUGGUUAUUCACCCCAAGGAGUGUGGCUAAUGGGAGGCUGGCGCAUGAGUGUUGUAAAUACAUCAUGUCAAGUGUAAUGACGUCGCCAAAAUAGCGGUAUUGCGCCUGGGCUCUAGAAUCAGUCCAAAAGAAAUUCUUCACAAGAUUUUCCCGAUCAAGAUCCCAGCUGUGGAUAAAGUUUGGUUUCCUGUGUUGCAUCUUUUCAAUGAACUUCUUGAGUGAAUUGAGGUCAUCCUCCCCGAAAAGCGGCACAAAACUCUCCAACCUACUAAACCUCUGGCUACCAACAGCAGCCCCAACGCUAGCACUCCUCUUGGGUCGUGUCGGGAACUUCCUUGUCUCAGCAAUCUCGCUCAGCGACUUCUCCACCAUUUCAUCCAUCUCAUCUGUAAUAUUGGCCUUCUUCUUUGCUGACUCAGGCAUCUUCCUGUAGGCCUUUAAGAAUCUCACCAUAUCUGGAGUACAAGGAUGGUUAUGCUCCAAGCCGACGGAUUCCACCUUCCACCUUCCAUCCACACGCUUGUCCCGGAUGAUCAACAUCGUCUUACAUCCAGUCUUCUCGGCAGUGCCACGGCGAGACUUCUUCUCCUUGGCAGCCAACCCCCGUUUGCUGCGGAGUGGGUAGCGGGUACCUGGGACGUCAGAGGGGGCAGCGCCCGUCCCAGAUUUGCCGUUGUACAUGCAGGUGAAGGUGGAGCGGUAGCGGAGCCCCUCGCAGUUGUGGCAAGUGCGGCGCACGGCAUGAAACCCCGUGUGGUAGGCGUGGACCUUGUAUAGCGCGAAAGCCUCGUCCACAGAGUCGAACACCACGCCCACCCGCGGCACGAGGGCCUCCUCCAGCGUGUUGGGGACGAAGACGAUGUCCCCGCUGCCACCGUCCUCCUCGUCGUCAGAGGGGAUGACCACUUCAUCGUCCUCCACGACCACCUCUUCGUCUUCCUCCUCCUCCGCAGGGUAUCCGUUGAGGUCGUCGGCAAGCUCCUCCUUGACCUGCCGCGCAUCCUCCCCGUCGGACUCGAGGCUAGGGUUGUGAGCCCCGGUGGACCGCCUCUUCGAACCCGCCCCCAUGCUCUGCCCCUACACUAUUUACACACACCCUCUUGCGCGCGCGUGCGCCACAACACCGCACCCCCGAAAAGAAUUAACACUAGAGGUACAGUGGAACGGAUACCUCGCGGCGCGGAAUGGCGAGGGUUCCGAGAGGGCGACGGUACGGGGGAGCGGGUGAGGUGGCGUGGGGCAGCGUAGCGGCUAAGGGGACGUCGAUCUGGGCGGAGCAGUGGGCGUGGGGACGUCGCCGGGGAAGAGGCUCGGGCUGGUUUGCUUUUGCUUUGGUGGGCGGAGCGGAGAGGAUGUGUGUGCGUGCCUGGGCGGAGGAAUUUGGCAAAAUAGGUCACUCUAGUUUGCCGCUCUGCAAAAU